Molecule: non-coding RNA, 45 nt
Filed under: Trichobilharzia regenti
Lineage: Eukaryota; Metazoa; Platyhelminthes; Trematoda; Strigeidida; Schistosomatidae
Source: RNAcentral
AGUUAGUUGAUGAGUCCCAAAUAGGACGAAAUGUGCGUUCUGAAU